UAACCAAAACAAGUUUUCAAUA
Molecule: non-coding RNA, 22 nt
Filed under: Arabidopsis thaliana (thale cress)
Lineage: Eukaryota; Viridiplantae; Streptophyta; Magnoliopsida; Brassicales; Brassicaceae
Source: RNAcentral